GGGGCUGUAGCUCAGCUGGGAGAGCGCUUGCAUGGCAUGCAAGAGGUCGUCGGUUCAAGCCCGAUCUGCUCCA
This 73-nucleotide transfer RNA is filed under the name bacterium TMED178. Its description in RNAcentral is "tRNA-Ala". It matches the Rfam family "tRNA". Rfam says of the family: Transfer RNA (tRNA) molecules are approximately 80 nucleotides in length. Their secondary structure includes four short double-helical elements and three loops (D, anti-codon, and T loops). RNAcentral also lists the same sequence under 1 other name. The record is from RNAcentral.